Molecule: long non-coding RNA, 1126 nt
Organism: Glycine soja
Lineage: Eukaryota; Viridiplantae; Streptophyta; Magnoliopsida; Fabales; Fabaceae
Exons: 2
Source: RefSeq, a predicted model, not a curated record
CCGAGUAGGCAUACAUGCCUUUGUGUUUCAACAUCAACCUUAAAGUGUAACUUUAUUAUUAUUUGCUGUAAAAUUCUGAUCUCAAAUCCGUUUGUGGUUUCCACUUUUUUAGCUGUCAUUGAUUUCUGCAAAACCAAAAAGACUCGUUUUUUGUUUGUGCUUAUUUCACUCUUCACACGAUCCCCAACGCUGACUUCUUUUCUUCUUCACUCCAGUCUCCUGACUCUUCUUCUGCUUCUGGACGUCAGUGAUCUGAAUGAUUUCUGGUGUUGAUUGGAACAAACUAUAGUUCACUUCUAGCACAACCUGAUACUUCCAAGAGCAUAAGAAAAUGCAAUUGUACCAUCAUCUUGGACUCCCAGAAGGUGAGACUUGCGGUGGAAGAGAAAGGCAUUGAUUAUACAUCUCACCAUGCCAAUCCCAUAACUGGCAAGAACUUGGAUUCUUCAUUCUUUAACAUGAAACCCGGUGGAAGACUCCCAGAUUUUCAAAAUGGCUCUCACAUCCUUUGCAAGACUAUUGAUAUAAUCCAGUAUGCUCUCUUCACAACGUAUUCAUUCACCAUCCUGUUAUUAUUGCCUCAAAUACAUGUGUAUAAAAGAAAUUUCACUUUGAAGAUUGACAUGGCAUUAUAAAUUAACCUCCCUCCCCCACCCAAAUGAUUGCUGGCAAAGCUGCUCUCUACAUAUUUAUCAGGGAAGGAAUCCUCUCAUGUUGAAUUUUCACAUGAUGUGAUCAUGUGAAAAUUGUGUCUAUCUUCUUAAAAGUACGCAAAUUUUAAUAUGCACCUAUUUAAUUUUCCUGAAAGAAAGAUAGACACAAUUUUCACAUGAAGUGGUCGCGUGGAAGUUCAUGAGAGGAUCUAUUCUCUAUGUACCAUUACUCUCCAAACCAAUUCCCUUGAAGCACACAAAUUUUAUGGUUUUUAUGGUAUAUGAAUCUUUGGAUAAGAGGACAUAAGAUUAGACUAUAGAGAAAACUGGGGCACAUUGUCGGGCAUAGAUAUUUGGCAUGCGAAUGAAUAAGCCCAACCUAGAACUAGCACCAUUUCAUUUCAAUUUCAUUACAACCUCUCUUUUGUUCUCUUUGGUACGAACUUUGCAUUAAUGACAUGGUUCAGUUCUUU